AAGAGCCGUGUGCGGGUGAAUCGCAUGCACGGUUCGGAGAGUUUGAGUUGUCAAUAUUCAAGC
This 63-nucleotide unclassified non-coding RNA is filed under the name Desulfonatronum zhilinae. The record is from RNAcentral. Lineage: Bacteria; Pseudomonadati; Thermodesulfobacteriota; Desulfovibrionia; Desulfovibrionales; Desulfonatronaceae.